CACAAGUCUUGCAAACUGUUUACUUGCUCCUGUUUUAUUUGUACGUUUUGGGAUCUAGUAAGCUGGACUGGUCCCAGGACCUGAAGGAUGAGUUCAGGCAUUGGAUGGAAACAUGGAGUCAUUGCCCUUGUGGACUUGCCCUGAUUCUGCCCUGGAGAGAAUUACUGAGGGAUAACAGUCACCAAGUUGCAGAUGCUACAAGGAUUCUACCGUAACUUCCUUGGGCAGAUGACAGCACCAAUAUGUCGUGGAACCUCACCUCUCCAGAGCCCUACUCCACUAGGGAAAGAUAGAAACAGACUGCGAUUAUGGGCUGAACUGCCAACAUCCAUGUCCAGCAAAGAAGCAACUAUAAAAACCAGACCUUUCACCUUCUACAGCCCCCAAAUAAUUUUGGUCCAUACUCCCAGAGGGAAAAACAUAGAGAAGUUUCUAAUGGAGAGGAUAGGACACAGAGCCCUAGUGGUGGGAACUAUAUGAACUUAUACCAUUAUUAUCUUACAAUUUUGUAAAUAAUUAUUAAAUCACUAAUA
Molecule: long non-coding RNA, 533 nt
Organism: Erinaceus europaeus (western European hedgehog)
Lineage: Eukaryota; Metazoa; Chordata; Mammalia; Eulipotyphla; Erinaceidae
Exons: 3
Source: RefSeq, a predicted model, not a curated record